UUUCUCACUGUGCUCAUCUAUCUAGCUAAUGCUCUUCAGUCUGCAUCUCCUACAUUUGCCUCCCCCAUCCCUAAGCUGAUCUCUCAACCUGGCAUACAAGAAGUGUUAUGGGUGCAUUUCUCAUCCGUGUUACAGGAGAAAAGCUGCCCUUCUUGUACCGUUUGGGGAGGAGGGAGAAGGUGGAGGAGCCCUCCACAAAGAGGUGAGGCCAGCAGGUGCCCUUUCCUUUUCUGGGGUUGUCUGCUUGUCCUGGAGGAAGAUGAAUCUUGGCUCAGAGACAAAACCACAAAACAUCUAUUGAAUAAUCUGCUACAGGUGACAAAGGCAGCAGUGAUAAGGGAAAAGAGAAACUUCCUGAAGGCAAAAUGCAGGUCACCUGGAAAUGCUGACUUCAGCCUUCUCACAUUUCCAUUUGACCUCCUGUCACAAACUAGCCAAAGCUCUAAAAGGACCCACUUUAUCUCCUCACAGAGGGGAAACCUGCCUCCCUGCAACAUUUAUCUAAAGUGGUUAUGCUGUAAAAAUGUGAUGACUGCCUCUGCAGCACUCACCUGCUUCUAUAAUGGGAUAAUUACAGAUAAAGGUGGCAGGAGCCUUCUGCUGGCUUACUUAGACCUUCCACACCUGACUUUGAGAGGACCAAAGGAAGCUUGCAGAGCGAUCAAGCAGCCCUACAGAUUACUGGGGGUAGUUGUUCACCUUGUUCCUCGUCUUCUCAGAAAGUGACGCUUCACUAGUUUCCCCACCCUGAGUGGAUGAGUAUCUGGACAACGCAGACCACUCAUGCAUUGAGAAUGACAAGAAACAGAAACUGUUUGAUGUCUUGGAAUAAAACACCAUCAGCAUCGCUUUACCA
Molecule: long non-coding RNA, 856 nt
Filed under: Anser cygnoides (Swan goose)
Lineage: Eukaryota; Metazoa; Chordata; Aves; Anseriformes; Anatidae
Description: lncRNA (ENSACDG00005016002.1)
Source: RNAcentral